Molecule: long non-coding RNA, 2196 nt
Organism: Glossina fuscipes
Lineage: Eukaryota; Metazoa; Arthropoda; Insecta; Diptera; Glossinidae
Exons: 2
Source: RefSeq, a predicted model, not a curated record
UUCGGUUGUCAGGGAUGAAAUUUAUAGAUAAAUAGAUAAGUGUAUUUAAUUGAUUAUAUUCAAAUUUUAUCCUUGACGACCCAAUAUGUACAUGUGAAUAUGAAGUAUUCUACUUAAGUCACUCACCUAUAAUGAUGUCUAUAAAUCUGGUACUAUUCUAUAUGAUCCGGAUGUAAUGUGUUCCCUAUACUUAUUUGAUAUUAUAGUACAUUUAAUAAUAAUUGCUUCUGUGUGACUACCCAGCACGAAAACACUUAUAAACGAGGAAAUACCAAACGUUGCGUUGCCUUUCAAAUGAACGGAGAUAGUCAGUCAGUCGUGAACGUAGGCGUUGUUGUUUUUAUACAGUGAAUAAAAAAGUCUCUUAGGACUCUUGUACAUGUAGGUACAGACACAGUUAAGAAAUGUGUUAACUUUAUUACUCCAUUUGUAACAACUAGACUAUGUAAACUGUCUGACCUAUGCGUGGUUGUCAUGCAAGAUAAAAAUAUAAUAAUUAAUUGAUGAGGAAUUCAUUGCUUUGGGAUAAGGUUUUGGUUUUCUCAAGCUCAAGUUGAGAUGGGUUUGUCAAUUGCACGAUCAUAGGAUCAUAACUACUUACUUAGCUACGAUAUUUGCAAUAGAUUACAAUAUAAGUCGCAUAUUUUGGUUUUUGUAUGCAAGGUUGAGAAAGACGAAGCAGCACUCACGGGAUUAAUGGGCUGACAUAUCUAAAUCGAUCCAAUUUCUCAUCCAAAUGGCAAUACACAUGUUCGCUGAUCAAUUGUCAGCAAGUUAUCCCGUAGCCGGCAAUUUUCGUAGAUACGCGCACCACUAGACAUUUCGUAUAUAAUUGGUAGCUGCGAUGAGUUAAAUCAUUUAUAAAAUUUGAAUGUCUUUCUUUGACAUUUAUAGGAAGAUGAAAAUUGCAUCAUAGCAGAUUUCUUCAUCCAAUACUUUGAAACAAGCACUGAAUAGGAAAACUUGCUUGAUCAAAUAGCUAUGAGUUUUCCUUUUUCUUAAGCGAACAAGUUUCGUGGAAAAGUUUUUAUUUCCUCGAUACUGAAACAUAAUGAGCGGCGCAUAUGGUACUUAUGUAUAAAAAAUAGUAUGCAUAGAUGAUUAUAUGUGUAUGUCUACAUAAUAUAAAGAUUGCCUUUAAAAGUUUAAUGAACGUCAGUUGCAUAAAAAAUGCAUUCAUUAGAGAGCGAUUGAGUUUAAUAACGCAGUUAAAAUAAAAUGGAGAUAAUUAAAAAUUUAACAUAUAUUGUCUAUGUAUAAAUUUGUAACGGAAAUUGAUUAAGUUUCGCACGAUUGUUAUCGUGAAACAUUUAACCUAUGUCUGAUCUCUGUUUUGUCGUCAAGAACUGGUCGAAAUCGUUGCAAGGUUUCGUUUAAUCGACAUCAGCACCGACGACAGCGACGAUCUUGUAGUCGAAAAGUGCUGCAAGCCCAAUCCGUUCACGGCAUUCACUCUAAUAUGAGCUAAUCGCCAUAAAAUUUCCAGCAAAGUCUCGCUAAAUUUCCAAGGUAGAUCAAUUUGCUGCACAACUGCGUCCGACCAGCACCAGCACCAUUUUUGACGCUUUAAGGAGAUCAUCAAUUUUUCUUAAAUAAGCUCUUCUUUGAUGAAUUAAAAGGUGGAGGUAAUUGUUGUAGAAAAAAUCGAGAGCGUGAUCGGAUAAACGGGAGUACCUGAAAUAUUGAUUGUUGUUGUUGUUGUUGUUGAUAUAAAAACAAGUUAAACGAAAGCCUAUUAGAAAGAAGUAAUCAUUAAAGGCUAUCUAGUAAAGCUCUUACCACAUUUAAGACGGGAAACAUUUGCCAUUUGCUAUAAGGCAUCGAUCAAAAGGUCUUUCAGAGUAGCUCUACUCUGCAAUUAUCUUCGAAAAUCCUACCGCAGUCGACGAUCUACUUUGCUUGUGCUCUGCCGUAACAUUUUGCUAUAGUGUAAUGACAGUCGCGAUGUAAACCAGACCCACACUUUGCGAAUAUUCUAAGAUCUUAGAUAGCUACCUCAUUUACUUACAGUGUGAUCGACCAGAAGAACAACAGGUUGCUUUUAUAUUAUAGCUAUGAAAUAUCCUUAGUGGGGCGGGUAUAUUUACAGAAAGAACUGAUUCUUGCAUUCAUGUACCGAAAUAUAUGAACACCCACCAGAAAAACAUAAAAUCGCUAUUAAACAAAUAAACAUGAUGUGUGGAAAAAAAACAAAAA